RNAcentral lists this ribosomal RNA (453 nucleotides) under uncultured Parabacteroides sp. Its description in RNAcentral is "partial 16S ribosomal RNA". It matches the Rfam family "Bacterial small subunit ribosomal RNA", at positions 341 to 792 of the family's 1533-position model. The record is from RNAcentral. Lineage: Bacteria; Pseudomonadati; Bacteroidota; Bacteroidia; Bacteroidales; Tannerellaceae.
ACGGGAGGCAGCAGUGAGGAAUAUUGGUCAAUGGAGGCAACUCUGAACCAGCCAUCUCGCGUGAAGGAAUACGGCCCUACGGGUCUUAAACUUCUUUUAUAGGGGGAUAAAGUGAGAUAUGUAUAUCUUUUUGUAGGUACCCUAUGAAUAAGCAUCGGCUAACUCCGUGCCAGCAGCCGCGGUAAUACGGAGGAUGCGAGCGUUAUCCGGAUUUAUUGGGUUUAAAGGGUGCGCAGGCGGCGCGUCAAGUCAGCGGUUAAAUCCCGAGGCUCAACCUCGGUUCGCCGUUGAAACUGUCGUGCUCGAGUUCGUGCGAGGAGAGCGGAAUGCGUGGUGUAGCGGUGAAAUGCAUAGAUAUCACGCAGAACGCCGAUUGCGAAGGCAGCCCUCCAGCACUGGACUGACGCUGAGGCACGAAAGCGUGGGUAUCGAACAGGAUUAGAUACCCUGGUA